This 468-nucleotide ribosomal RNA is filed under the name uncultured bacterium. RNAcentral's name for it is "partial 16S ribosomal RNA". It matches the Rfam family "Bacterial small subunit ribosomal RNA", at positions 28 to 507 of the family's 1533-position model. The record is from RNAcentral.
GACGAACGCUGGCGGCGUGCUUAACACAUGCAAGUCGAACGGAAAGGCCCUGCUUUUGUGGGGUGCUCGAGUGGCGAACGGGUGAGUAACACGUGAGUAACCUGCCCUUGACUUUGGGAUAACUUCAGGAAACUGGGGCUAAUACCGGAUAGGAGCUCCUGCUGCAUGGUGGGGGUUGGAAAGUUUCGGCGGUUGGGGCUGGACUCGCGGCUUAUCAGCUUGUUGGUGGGGUAGUGGCUUACCAAGGCUUUGACGGGUAGACGGCCUGAGCGGGUGACCGGCCACUUUGGGACUGAGAUACGGCCCAGACGCCGACGACGGACAACAGUGGGGAGUAUUGCAGAAUGGGCGGAAGCCUGUUGCAGCAACGCCGCCUGCUGGAUGCCCGCUUUCGGGUUGUAGCCCGGUUUCGCCUGUGCCGAAGCGUGAGUGUCGGUAGUGGGUAUAGAAGCACCGGCUAACUACGUG